UAAAAAAUGGGUUCAAAAGUUGUGAUUUUAAUUUGUAUCUGUACUAUUCCAGUUAAUAUUUUUCAUAAAAAUAUCUAAAAGUGAAAUAAACUAUAUUAAUCUAUCUAUAUUAUAAUAGUUGAGUUUUUGCUCACUCCUCAGCGUGGCCGUUUUGUGGGCCCCAAUUUUAAAAAUUGUGAAAAAACGUCAAGCUCAUGACUCGAACCCUGGUUAUUGAGAUAUAAACACCAACAUUUAUACCUCUAAGCUAAAUGAUACUUUGUACAUUGAUGGCUGAACCUAAUAUAUAUUUAUGAAGGUCGGAAGCCCUUGCUUCUUCGGCUUCCUUUGAGGGUCGGGCCUACAAGUGUAUUAUGAGUUUCAUUUUUAAAUGUGAUUCAUCACGUUAUAUGAAAAAAACUUAAGUUUACAACAAUUAUAGUUUUCCCAUAUUGUAAACU
RNAcentral lists this long non-coding RNA (440 nucleotides) under Brassica napus (rape). RNAcentral describes it as "long non-coding RNA (BNAP_LNC020097)". The record is from RNAcentral. Lineage: Eukaryota; Viridiplantae; Streptophyta; Magnoliopsida; Brassicales; Brassicaceae.